AACAAAACUACUCGCCAGAAUACUACAAGCAACAGCUUAAAACUCAAAGGACUUGACGGUGCUUUACACCCCCUAGAGGAGCCUGUUCCAUAAUCGAUAAACCCCGAUCCACCCCACCCUCUCUUGCUCAGCCUAUAUACCGCCAUCUUCAGCAAACCCUGAUAAAGGUCACAAAGUGAGCGCAAACGCCACUACCGCGAAGACGUUAGGUCAAGGUGUAGCCUAUGAGACGGUAAAAAAUGGGCUACAUUUUCUGUCUCAGAAAAUUCUACGAAAACCCUUAUGAAAUCUAAGGGUCCAAGGAGGAUUUAGCAGUAAAUUAAGAA
RNAcentral lists this ribosomal RNA (326 nucleotides) under Macaca radiata (bonnet macaque). RNAcentral describes it as "partial small subunit ribosomal RNA". It matches the Rfam family "Bacterial small subunit ribosomal RNA", at positions 858 to 1349 of the family's 1533-position model. Lineage: Eukaryota; Metazoa; Chordata; Mammalia; Primates; Cercopithecidae. The record is from RNAcentral.